This is a long non-coding RNA of Cucumis melo (muskmelon), 10994 nucleotides long. RefSeq lists it as uncharacterized. Lineage: Eukaryota; Viridiplantae; Streptophyta; Magnoliopsida; Cucurbitales; Cucurbitaceae. The transcript is spliced from 7 exons. The record is from RefSeq and is a predicted model, not a curated record.
UCACGACUAUAAAUACCGCCUUUAUUCUCGUUUUCCGUUUCCUUUUCGAGCGUCUGGAGAGAUCAAACAUCAAAUUGCUCUGCUUCUUCGUAGCCUGGUACAACCGUUUUUGGUCUCCUCGCGUGAGGCAUCACAUACAAUCUAUUCUCCUCUUCAGGAAAUGUUGUUUCAGAAGCUAUUUCUCAGAUCCGUUUGGUUGGCUUUAAUAGGCGGGAGAAUAAACUGGAAAAGGCUAGAGUUCUAACGCAACUGUUCUUAUGUGCCUUUGAAUUACUAGGUCAUCUUGUUUCUAGCAUCUUCUUAUGAACCGAACGAAGCAUUACGAUGUAGAAUCGGUUUAUUGCAGAAUUCGUUUUCUAUCUGAACAUAAGAUCAUGAGCGUAGAACUGAUCUGGCCUGGCAUUCAUCUCACCUAUCUCUCUAUGUGUGCGCGUGUGUAUGUGUGCGGUAUUAUAAUACCACGUUUGUCUAAUUAUUUUUAAUUUGUCAUUUUCCGCUUUACCUGUCUGGCCGAUAAUUUGUUAUAUUGAGAUAUUGACAAGGAUGCUUGCCUUUUGUGGUUGUAUGCGUAAUCUUUAAAUACGCAUUUUGUAGCAUUUGCAUAAUAUGAUAUGUAACGAUUUUAUAACCAAAGAGAGUGGGAAAUCGUAGGCCAAGAAGUUUCGUAGCUUCUUUUGUUCUUUUGAUAGAAACCGUACGGCAUUUAAGCUCUCCAAGUAUUCUGGAGAUGGCCACUAGUUUUUUCGUUAUGUUUUGUUUUGGUUUCGUUUUUUUAUACCAUUGAGAUCUAUCGUCAAGAUUAUCUGUUUUUGUAUUUACGCAUCCAUAACUUUUUUGAACCCAAAACUUGGCAACUGACGUUCAAGUUACUUAAUCAUUACUUUGAAAGACUUCUGUUACAACGUUCUUUUUAAUCUAUUGCUGUAAAUUGUUUUGAGUGUUAACGAGAUCAUUACGAUUUAUCUGUACCCUCACUUCACUUUUCUUCUAACUUUUUCUGCUUGUUAGUGAUUUUGGUUUGGUUUCUAAAUAUUAGAUCAUUUUGUUUAUUGAAUAUAAAUGUAUAAGUGUAGAACAUUGGUGAUUGAUCACAUAGUUUGAAACUCUAGAGCUUUGGUAGCUAGUAGUUCAUAUUUAACGAGUAAGGUUAAUUAUCUGAGAACGUACUUCCGAGACAUGCCUGAAGCUUUUGUUUGUUGAAACGAAAUUGAACUUGUUUAUAAGAUAUUAAUUGUGGAUAAUAGUCGUUGAUAAGAUAUUAAUUGUGGUUAGCUGCUUGCAUACCGAAACAGAAGUUAUGAGUGCCAACUAACUACGAAACUUACAGUACCCUUCAUCACAAAGGCUUCGAAGAUGAACUUGUGUAACUAAUUCUACUAGAAUCAUGUGUAACUAAAUCUAUUAAAAUCAGGCUUUAAGUGGCGCUCCUAAUUUGUCGCAGUCCUUAGAAGCAUGAUUUUAGUAGAUUUAGUUACACAUGAUUCUAGUAGAAUUAGUUACACAAGUUCAUCUUCGAAGCCUUUGUGAUGUAGGGUACUGUAAGCUUAGUAGUUAGUUGGCACUCAUUUCUUCUGUUCUGGGAUGCAAGCAACUAAUCAUUUGAGCGAUUUGUUUCUAAUCUUACCUCCUGAAGCAUGGAAGCAAUCUUGAAUAAGCAAUAGUUAAACACUAUUUAUUCUCUCUUCCAGUAUGGUUUGUGUUUGUAUUUCAGUUACUUUUAAUUGCUUUGGCAAAAGGGUUUGAAUCUUAAGACACGUAUUUUAGUUUUGCCCACAUUUUUUUUUUCUUUUUUGAUGUUCUAUUUUUGCGAAUUUCUUUUGAUGGUUACCUGUGUUUAACAAACAACAUUCAACAUUCGCUUGGUGUUGUGUGGGUAAAGUCAUCACAACCAGUAUGUUCCAAUUAGAAUGCCUUCUUGGUGUGCUGACAAUAAUAUAUUAUUUUUAUAUUUAGCUGGAGUUUUGGGAUUAGAAUUAAGACUGCAUUGUUUCACCGUUUCUUGCAUGCAUUAAUCUAGAGAUUAGUAGCUUUGUAAGAAAUUUCAAUGGUGCCUCUAUCAUAUGUAGGUAAAGCCAAAGCUCUUGUAAAUAUGAGAAUUGCAAAAAAUUUGGGCAUAUGCAUUGUUUUUGGUGCUUACUCUUGUAUUGUAUUAUUUGUGAAAGGUGUUAUAUAUUUUUUUAGGUUUUUUUUUAUUUGUUUGGAUUUUUUAUUCAGUUCUCUUUAUAGUUUAUUCUUAGUGAAAUCAUUACAAUAUAUUAAAAAGAUUCGAAGUUAACAUUAUGAUUGUGAACUUAUAGUUGGAUUGAAAUUCAGAGCAAUAGGAGUUUCAACUUGCUUCCUUAAUUAGGUAUCAUCCAUACUCAGAUAAUGAAUUCACCUCAAGGUUUCGCUGGACCAUACCCGCGUCUUCAUAAAAAUAUUCCACAAACUUCUAGAAGAGGCUACUCGAACUCUUCCACUGAUAAAUCUCACCAUGAACAAGAGUAAAAUAACCACCAUUUUUCAUGUCUUGAUGAAUCAAUCCCCUUACAAUUUUCUUUCCAUGGUAAAGUAAAACAUUUUGGUGCAUUAUCAUUUGAUGGUUUGUUCGAACAAAAAGUUGGUGUUGGUUGGAUAAAGAGGUCUAGUAUUGAUUUUAGUGACAUUCUUGCAAAGUCGUGCCCAUCACCCACCAGGAGGUAGUAAAACCGUAAGAAUAGCUAACAAUUAAAUUUUCAUACCCUGAUUCCUGAAUAAUUAUUUGAAAGUUUAAAUAGGAUACUGGUGCAUGGGGGACCAUGGUACUAGUUUCUUUUUAUGGCCAUGAAAAGUAGCAAUGGUGAGAACUGAGCAAAUUAAUUUUUCAAGAUGUUUCUAUUACCGAUGAUCUCAAGGACUUGGAUAAAAUAGUUUGUCUUCUUUUUAGAGGUAUUUUAGUGAUAAUCUGAAUCCACAAUUAAUUCAUAUCUUCGAGUGAACCAGUAUUCUACUUUUAUAUAAAUUGAUUUUUUCCAUAAUAAUCUGUGAUUUUGGCUUGCUCUCGAUGGCCACAUCAAACCAUUAAAUCGUUUUUUCUUUUGAAAUGUGCCAAAAUUUAUUUAUCAUUUUCCAAGAUUUACUCUUUUGGUUGAGGAUUUUACCCUUUUACCAGCCAUCUUGUUUUAUAUUUUAAUGUUCAGGUGUUAUGAGUGACUUUUUUUUUUUUUUUUUUAUAUCCUUGUGUAGCCUUUGACUUUUCCACUGAAAGUGAUCUUAAUGGUUAGGAAACCUGGAGCAAGUAUUUUGAGAACCCUACUUCCGAUCCAUCUACUUUCCCCUAUUGAGAAUAGUUACACAAUAUUCUGAGCUAAGCAGUUUCAAUGGCAUCCAACUCGUGCAUUAGGGGAAAAAAAAAAACAAAAAACAAAAGAAAAACAAAAGAAAAACAAAAAACAAAAGAAAAACAAAAAACAAAAAACAAAAGAAAAACAAAAAACAAAAAACAAAAGAAAAACAAAAAACAAAAAACAAAAACAAAAACAAAAUAAAAAACAAAGCAAAAUUAUUGAAUUAUCUCUGUCUAUCUGAAUUCAAUAUAUAUAGCUAGUAGCGAAGGAGGUGUGAAAUUUCUUUUACCUUUCAAGAAAGACCACUUGUGUAUGAAAGUGAUCACAAUUGAGAUUUGUGAAUCCAUUCUAUUGUAUAUGUACAAAUAUGGAUUAUAGCAUAUUUUCCAGUCAAGGUCAUUCCUUUUGAUGUGGAAUAGGAAUAUAAGAAUGUGAGGACCAUUGAGAGGCAUUGAACUAGAGUAUCACACGCCAAUUUAGUGAUGUGGGUUGGAUAAUAUUUCGUUGAUGUAGCCCACACAUUUAUCUGUGGUGUUGGAUUAAGCUUGCGAAGAAAGUUCUUUGGGGCUUUCAAUUGAAAAAAUAGGUACGGCAUCCCACACCUAAGAUGAACCGCUCCUCUUGCAUUGAUUGCAUUCACUAUUAUUUAUGUUGAAGCCAUUUUUUUCAUCCUUAUAGUCUCAUUGAUGUUAUUCUACUCUUGAAUCAUGAUAGUGUUGAUAUCUAAUGUGUAUUCUCUUUUAGUUAAAAAUCACUUUUGAUCCCUGAAUUUUCAUGAGAGGAACACUUCCGUUCUUGAAUUUUAAUUUGUAACGAUCUAUUCUUUGCACUUUCAAGUUUGUAACAAUUUCUAAGGAUUUAGUGUCCAUCAUAAAACAAUAUUAAGAUUUAUGGUCAAAUUUGUACCUAAAUCAUAGUCUAAGUAGGUACAUAAUUAAAAUUGAUAAUUAUGUGUGGUGACAUUUUCUAUAGGGACUAAAUUUCUACAAACUUGGAAGUAGAUAGAUUAAAUUGUUGUAAUUUGGAAAGUAAGAGAUUAAAUUGACACAAAUUUAAUUUGAAAGUAUAUAGACUAAAUUGUUACAAGUUAAAAUUCAAGAACUAAAUUAUUACAAAUUUGAAUGUACAAAAACCUAAUUGAUUUUUAAUCUUCUUGUUCAACUGGUUCUUUUUUUUUUUUUAUUAUUAUUGUUAUUUAUUAAUUUUAUUUUAUAGACAGGGAACAAACAUUUCAUUUGUUAAUUGAAAUGACUACAAAAAGAGUCCUAUCUAGAGGACUUACAAAAAAAACUCUUCCAUUGUGAAAUGGGGGAAGACAUAGUGGAAGUAGGAAAGGCAAGUGUGAUUUUUGCCAAAGGGUAUUUUUUUCCUUCCCAUUUCUUGAACAGAUGUCCCGUGAAAGUAGGAAAGAAAAGUGUGAUUUUUGUAGGGGAAGACAGUUAACCAACCAAAGGAUGCAAAUCAGCAUGCUCCAAGAGUUGGCAGCCAGGGUCAAUUUUUGAUAAAGUGUCUGUGUUUCGGCAUUCCUGCAACAAAGAGAACAGUAAUUUGGGGAGAGAUAGAGGCAAGGGAGCCUCCCAAGGCGAUUUUGAUUGAUGCAAGAAUGGUUAAUCUCCUGUAUAAAUAAUUUAAUUUUCCUAGAACACCUCUUUUCUAAUAUGAAAAUAAAUAAUUUAUGGAAAAUAUAUAUAUGGAAACAUAUGUUAUCACCUCUAGUGCAAGAAGAAGAAUGCAACGUUUUAGGGGACUUUGAAAAGAAAAUCCCAUUUUUUUCAACGUUCCAAAACUGUUAAUCAGCAGUCUUUGAGGAGGUAAACUAAGAAAGCAAGUUGGAGAUUAACACACUCUUCAAUUUCGGCUUGUCUAUGAUUCCCUCCUGAAAAAAGGUUCCAGGAUCAUUCCAAGAGGACCCGCCAAGUUCCUGCAGUUACCUCAAUUUCAUCAUCUGCGAAUAUCAACAACUCAGUGAGCAUAAUUUCAUCCAGUUCCACUGUAUUGCCGACAAUGGGAACAUCACAUUUGUAACUUCUAUCUAUGGUACUGCUUGAACAAUUUGCUGUAGCUGAGCAGGAGAGAUUCGAGAGACAUCCCUAGAUCAAGGGUCCAAGAUUCAUUCUCUCCAUGAUUGUUGUUUGGCAUUGGUUCUUUCAGCAUGGCAGAGCGUGGAUCAUGCUGUUUGGCCUGCACUCAGGAAAAUCCAACGAGAACACGCAAAUAUCUGAUAAAAUAGGCAAGCACUCAUGUUUCUUAUAUAAUUACUUCAUGGAAAAACUUCACAAGUUAAAAGAUUACAAUAUAUAACUAGGAACAAAGAAGAACAACAGACUCAACACAUUCGACUGAGUUGAGAAUUAUAGCCUUCUCAUGAUUAUUAACAUUUGGAGGGUUCUUCUAGUUUAAUUUUGUUGGGGUCUUCUCAACCCUCUGCCCUUAGGCUGUUCUUUUCUUUUGUUUCCUAAUAUAUGUCUCUCUUUCCUAUCAGAGAGAGAGAGAGAGAGAGAGAGAGAAUAAACUCCUAUGGUCCCCAACGGUUUGUUCCCAUUGACUUUACCUUUCUACCCCUCCUCUCGUAAGUGUAAAUAAUUGGAGGCUUCAUAAUACUUGAGCUUGAAACUCAUCCUGUCUUCAAGGUGAAGCAAAGGAAAUUGUCCAAAUUCAUUAAACUGAAAACAUGCCCGGGUAGGUCAAAAUUAUGACUAGGUUAAAUUGGGGAACCCUCUGGUCUACAGUAGGUCAAUAUUGUGAUUAUUUUAAAGUGGGGAAUCUACUGGUCUAUGUGAGAAACAAAAUUUCAUUAACGAGAUGGAACUAUUAGGCAAAAGUUAAAGGAGUUGGAGAGGAGUUUUCUUCAAUUGGCACGAAUCACUUGGAACCUAUACCAUUUUGAAUUAUAGACAGAAAAUUUUCAAUAUAUAAUUGAGAAGUGAACAAUACAAACUUUUCAAGUGAGUGAAAAAAGAACUUAAUGGAACACAAUAAGAACCAUCAAAGAGAUCCAAAUAGAGAGGGGAAAAUCCAUACAACAACAGAACACUCAAAAGAAAAACUUUCCAAGGAAGAGCCUGAAUAACCAAACCCAGCACAAGAAACUAAGCUAAAAGACAACUCUUGAGAACCAUAAAAGCCCUGAAACAGAAGGCCCAAAACAGGGGGAAAUGAAAGAAGCUCCAACCAAAUAGAAAAACCACCAAGUAAAAGAGCAGAACCGAGACCAAAAACACCAAGAGAGAACCACUGAACCCAAACCUGUAGAGAACAAACGAACAUAAAAAUCGAUUGCCUUGUGAAUUCAUGCAAGGAACUGCUCGCAUCUCAAGACCACAAGCUGCACUCAAAGCCUAUAUUAUUUAUAAAAUGAAUUGAGUGAUGCAUUAGUUAGAGGUGCAAAAAUUCAAUUCUACCGAUUGACCUGCCUCUCUUCUAAUAAAAAAAAGUUUCCCCUUCUCUUCUAACUACAAUGACCAUAAAAUUGCUCCUAACAGCAUUAAGCCACAUUUCUUUCCAAUAUAAAAAAUGUCUCUUCCAAAGCUUCAUAAAUAGGAUGUCAAAGAUGUGACUUUUAUGGAAGGAACCAGGUUUACUGCUUUCAAACUCCUCUAGGCUGUCCUUGUCAAUUAGCAUAAAACAUCUAACAUAUCCUUAAAGAGCAAUUCACACCUUGACUUCUUUGUAUUAAGGCUCCUUUUAGAUUAUGGAAGAAAGAUUAAUGAGAUUUCGACGCAGAUUAAGGAAUACAGAAGCCCUUGUUGUCAAAAUGGCUGUCUGGGAAAUCUCCACAAAAAUAAACUGCCUUUCUCUUGGUCCACUGAAGGUCUACAACUAUAUACCAUUAUAUCCAUAGGAUUCUGGAGACGCUAAAUUCAAAUGAUAGUUGUAAUAUCGAAUGGACUCUUCUGCAAUUUUAAAGCCCAUACAAAAAGGGCUGUCAAACAGUAUUUGCAACAAUUCUUGGAAAAAUAAAGCUAAACAGAGGCAUUGAACGGUGAGAGACCUAAUUUCUUCUUGGCUCCUAAGAAGCACAAACACGGAUAUGAGACAGACAAGACAUGAUACGGACACGGUGACACCAUUUUUUAAAAACCUAGGAUAGGACAAGGCAAAGACAUGUUUAUUAGAAAAAUAUAUACCAUCUUCAUAGUAAAAAAAUCAUAGUAAAUGCAUUGAUGCAUUUAAUAUGCUUAAAAGACUUAGCUUGAUGUAUUCUACGCUCAAAAGUUAUUAUUAUUGUCAUAUAUGUGUCUUUUUGGUCUAUUUAACGAGUGUUCUAUGUAUGUCCAAUGCAUUUACUGCACUAAUAAGUGUUCGAUAAGCGUCCAAGUGUCGGACACAGACACGGACACGGACAUGCUAGCCAAAGUAAAGUGUUCGUGCUUCUUAGCUUGGCAGCUACGCUUUAGAAAUUUUCCUCAUCCUCCCUUGUCAAACUGCCCCAUAAAAGAAACUACACACUGUAGAUAGUCUCUCAGUAAAAAAGAAUCACUAAACAACAAUUUCUUAGUAGAAAAGGAUCACUAAACAACAAUUUCGGUUACAAGGCCAGCAAACCGCAAAUGACUCAGAAAAAUAUCUCCACAUCUAACGGACUAUCUCAGAUUGUCGAUAUCCACCAUGGUUCAUAAGUGCUAAAUCUCUCAUACAUGACUUGCAAAAUAAAAGAUUUGACCUUCAAAAUUUCAAACUUCUCAGAAUUAAGAGAAUUAAGUGUGCCAUGAGGGAUCUGCAUAGGAGAAGAGUUAAAGAAAAGCCCCUUAAAGAUGGGAUUGGAUGGAUCAAAUACCAAAAAUAGAAAUCACUUAACAAAGAAAGUAUAGCUAAAACGUCAAGUUUUUUUUGUAUAGCCAACAGAAGAAGGUGAGAUUCAAAACUAAUGAAAAUAGAUGAAAUGACAAAAGCCACCGAGCACACAUAAUGGCAAAGGCAAGCAACAAGGAGCUGUAUAUAACAUUAAAACUGGUGAGUUGUAAUUUGUAAUGCUUUGCCGAAGGGUAAUUUCUUUUCGAUGGAAAUAAAAAAUGGUUAUUUAACAAGGGGUGAUAUGGAAAAGCCAGUAAAGAGACGUGAUCUACCCUAAAUCUUGCUCUUCCUUAGAUAUGUUUUUAAUAAUACCUUUACUAUCCUAAACCAUUAUGGAUUGACCUAGCGGUGAUAUCUCAAUUAAAAAGUCGAGAUUCUUUGAUUUGAGCCGUAGGAUAAGACAAGAAAAUGUCAACUUUUUAGGAUAAGUUGGAUCUCUAAUCAUUUGCUUAACACAUGAAUUCCUAAAUUUUUUAGCCAAAAGGACGGUUCUAUUAGGAGUCUAAAAGCGAAAUAUGGAUAUAAACAAGUCUCAAUUCUUGAUUACUUUAAAAACGGAAAAGUACCUCAGAAAAGCAUGAUUUGACUUGAUUCAGGUUGUAAAUUCCUUUCCAUCACCAAAUAUCAAAUGGACGAUAAUUUUGUUUUGAUUUUAUAUUUGAUGAGAAUUAGGUUUUUAGAGCCGUAAUUCUUUGUCAAUUACAAGCUUGAUCAUAGUUUUACUGUACAUGGCACAAAUUUUCGAUAGAGGUUAAAAGUUCAAACUCUAUCUUAACGUGUUGGAACUCAAGUUAUAUUUCUUAAUAAAAAACUAUUUUAAAUUACAAAACUGCUCAUAAAAUUUAUAAAUAUAACAAAAUAGCAUAGUCUAAGUUUAUAGUUGAUAACGAUCUAUCGUGAUCAAAGAAUUGUGGUAUAUAUUUUGAUUUAUAUGUACUUUCUUAUUUAAAAGAUUUGAAUUCAUAUCGUAUAAGACAUUACCAUAGUCUUCUUAAAACAAAAAAUAUCUAUUUUUAUGGUUCCUCAUGUUUUGCUUAUUGAGACUCUUGAGAGUCAUUAUUAUUAUUAUUAUUUCUUUUUUUAACAUUGUUGACAUUUCGUGGCCACAAAUAAUUGCCUUUCCAUCCAUUUUCAUAAAUAUUUUUUGGGGUUACAUAAGUUUUAGUUCAUAUGGAUUGUGUUGUGUUUAUUUGGUCAUUUUAACUUCUCUAAAGCAUUUAAUUGGUUUCUGAUUAAUUGUGUUUUAAGAGGUAGCAGUUUAAUCUAGAAUUUUUUUAAAAAUUAUUUAAAAAGUUAUUUGGAAGUAUCAUAUCACCAUAUUUUAUUAUUAAUUUCAAUAUUUAUUUGUAUAGCUUUAAUGAUUUCAUGAUUUCAUGAAAUCAUGGGUAAGAUUUCAUGAAUUUUUUUAGUUUGUGAAAUAAUAAGAUCAAAGAAUUGUCUAAACUUUUGAACUGAUACUUUUAUAUCUUAUUCGUCGGAUUGGUUUUUUAUUUUCUACCAUUGUAACAGUCUUUUUCACUUGUUUUUUUUUUUCUUUGUUAAAUAUAAAGUUGUUUACAAUUUUCUAAUUUGAAAAUUGUUGUUAAAUUCAUGAUAAGUCUUUAAAAUAAAAUAAAAACAUAAUUUUGGUUAUCCAUCUAUUUAAUACGUUCUUUAUAUUUUUUUGGAUGAAGGUUGUGCUAAUUUCAAUGUUGUGUUUAACUAACUUUGGUUUUUUAUGCUUCAUUAAUUUAUAUAUAUCGUUCUAUCCUUUUUCAUUUGUUUAUAUUUUUAUUUCUCUGCAUAUCUCCUUUUUCUUCUAAUUUACCUCUUCCUAAAAUAUUUUUUUCCAACUUAUCUUUCCCGUUAUCCAAUGAAAUGACAUAUCAAUUGUUGUUGUGUUAAGUUUAUUUCGAUUUAUUCUUUCUAGUUAUUUUUUUAUUUUAUAAGUUUCUAAAAGAUUUCUCCAUUUAAAUUUUAUUCCUCUCAAAUAUACUAUCCUUUUCUCCACCCUUUUAACAAAAAUAAUUCUAUCACUUUUGGUUUUCUUUACUAGAUACCCACUUUUGAAAGAUGCUCAAAGUUAAAUUGUAAAAACUACAUCUCUAUUUUAUAGUCAUUUUGAUUCUCUUUUUCUAAAAGAGAGUUUUGAAAAGUAAACAAGGUAGUUAACAAAAUAUAGCAAAAUUGUUUUAUCACUGUUAUUUUUUUAUAUUUGUAAAUAAAACGGUAUAUAAUAUAUAAAUAUAUAGUAAAAGAUUUGAAUACAUUUUCAGGAUUUUGUUAUUUAAAAUAAAAAUAAAGUGUAGUUUUAAAUUCGUUUUUCUUAACUAUGGAUAUAAGAAAGAUGGAAAUCAAUUAUAUUUUCUAAAACUAAAAAUAUUAUCGAUUUAAAGAAUUUUUAGAAAACAGGGUUUGGAGAUUCUAAAUUUUUACUUUGUUUUUUAAAAUUUGAUUAAAUCCAAAUUUCUUCUAUUAUAAAAUUCGAGCUCGAAAAUAUUCAUGUUUUUCAGCGUAUAGAAACAUGCAAAAUAAAUAAAUAAAUAAAAAUGAUAGAACGAAGAUUUAGGAUCAGUGCUUAACGAAAAGAAAAUAAUUCAUGAUAACAUUACUGCAUUUCAUGUAUUGGUAUUAAAACACGAAUGUUUUCUAAGAGCUAGAUAGUCUCAAGUUCUCAACAUGUAGAAAAGUAAAACAUAGAAGCUUUUGUUCGUUUACAUCAUAAAUUUUGGAACAUGUUCACCACACCUCUUCAGCAAUUCCCGACCAGCUGUUCCAAUGCAGUUUCUACAUUAUUAUUAGGAGCUUUGUAAUAAUCGCUACAAAGGGGAAGAUUGAAACCGUGUAUUACUGAUGGAUAUAUAUGUUUUAGGAAGAAGCUGUGUAUUGAAAAGGAGUGGUUUCGUGUGUUUUUUA